GCCAGACUCCUACGGGAGGCAGCAGUGGGGAAUAUUGGGCAAUGGGCGCAAGCCUGACCCAGCAACGCCGCGUGAAGGAGGAAGGCUUUCGGGUUGUAAACUUCUUUUAAGGGGGAAGAGGAGAAGACGGUACCCCUUGAAUAAGCCACGGCUAACUACGUGCCAGCAGCCGCGGUAAUACGUAGGUGGCAAGCGUUGUCCGGAUUUACUGGGUGUAAAGGGCGUGCAGCCGGGAGGACAAGUCAGAUGUGAAAUCCGCAGGCUCAACCUGCGAACUGCAUUUGAAACUGUUUCCCUUGAGUAUCGGAGAGGUCAUCGGAAUUCCUAGUGUAGCGGUGAAAUGCGUAGAUAUUAGGAAGAACACCAGUGGCGAAGGCGGAUGACUGGACGACAACUGACGGUGAGGCGCGAAAGCGUGGGGAGCAAACAGGAUUAGAUACCCCAGUAAC
Molecule: ribosomal RNA, 449 nt
Filed under: uncultured bacterium
Lineage: Bacteria
Description: bacterial SSU rRNA
Rfam family: Bacterial small subunit ribosomal RNA
Source: RNAcentral